Molecule: long non-coding RNA, 4161 nt
Organism: Camelus dromedarius (Arabian camel)
Lineage: Eukaryota; Metazoa; Chordata; Mammalia; Artiodactyla; Camelidae
Exons: 10
Source: RefSeq, a predicted model, not a curated record
ACGCAGAGCGCGCGUAGGCAGCGCUGACCUUCCCGCUUCCAGCUGCUUGGGCCCGGGCUCUCUGCAGCCGUAGUUAUGCUCCUCCCACCUCACUUUUCUUUUCUUGGUUUCAAUCCCUGGUUUUGCUAGCAAUUCCUUGUUUCUGUUAAGCGGGAAAGGCGGACUGCAUUACCCAUGUUUGAAACUGGGUUUGCGAGUUUGGGAAGCAACAAGGGGUUACUCUGCUGGAAAACUUGACAUUGCAAGUAAAGGGAUUUAUACCCUAAGGUUCCACAAGCUCCGGUGCAUGGAAGAGAGGGACAAAGAAACCCGGAGACUCAGGAAGGUUGGUGGCCCACCUCUUCUUUCCACUAUAUAAUUCUACUUCUAGAAAGGCAAGUGGAAGAGUAGCCAUGCAAAGGAUCUAGAUAUAUGCCCAGGAGUGGAAUUGCUAGAACAUAUGGAAACCUUCCCCAAGGAGCUCCUGUUCUUGAAAGCAGCUGGACACAUUGACCUACCACUGCCUGAGUCCUGCGUCACACACUGUCACAGAGCAUCUUAGUUUUUGGAAAGAGUUUGUCUUCUCUGCCAGGCCAUGACAUACCCAGCCUUGAGACCGUGAGCUCCACGGGAAGCGGGGACAAUCUUUUCCCAGCACCCGAAGCAGUACCCGCUGCAUAGGGCACUCCAGAAAUGGAUGGAUCAACUGGAGUCACAGAGACCUGGGAGACGGGGCCUGGGACUGGCCAUGGGACAGGAGUUGUGUUUCCUAGAACCCGUCUUUCCUAAGGUGGACCCUGAGGACAUCAACCAUGCGGCAAAUGACUGCGACAAAGCAGGGGGCAAGGUGGGCCUCCAGUCUGCUCUGGGGACUCAGCUGGUACCUGAGAAGCCUCUCACCUGGGUAGAUGGGAAGAACUGCUGAGCUGCUUUGGAAGAGAAGGCCAGAACUACAUUAAUUCGCUCAGAAUGAGACCAGUGGGCCCUGUCAUGUUCAAGUUAUCAACAUGGCCUUUGAGCCCCAGGAGGCUCAUGAAGGGUCCUGGCAGUAAGAAGGCUCAGAAUGCCACCAGAGAGCGAUGGCCAUCUCUGCAUGCCCGCGUUCUGAGAAGUGGAAACAGUCCUCAGAGAAGAAGUACAUCUAAGCUCUAGUGAUGCCCCCCCUCAAAAAAAGGUGGGGAGCAGGGAAAAGGAGGAAAAGCAGAAAAACCAACUCCUUGGGAGCCCUCUUGGAAAGAGAUGGCCCAAAAAGUCCCACAAAGAGAAGGAAACACAUUGCCUAAGAUCUGGCUUCUACACACGCGCCUCCCAGACAUGCCCGUGGCUUACGUCAUUCAGAGGGACGAGAGUGUUCUGGAAGAAAGGCUGCGCGACCACGGCGAAGUCCUCGCGCUGCAGGAAUUGUGAGGAAGGGGAACAGAAGUACCAAGUAUCUGCGACCUGCGACCUCACCCUACCUGGGGCAUGAAGUUGGAGCCAGAAACCUGAGGGUCGUGGGUGUGUGCUGCGUUUCGGAGUUUUCUGUACGGAUGUGUGCAUAUACAUAAAGGCAGAGGUGUGACUACAGAACAACAUGAAUAAAUACAGACAGACAUGAAACAGACGAGGGAGCAUCCACACGAGCACAUAUACAUGCAAAACGGGCAGGUGAAGACCCAGAGAUCUGGUGCUUUUCAGGUGCAUUUCAUGUUGGAUUUGUUGACCCAGGAAUCUAAGAACCCCGGUUUGCUUUUUCUGCACAAUUAAAAGAAAAGGAUUAUUGACAGUAAAAUCACCAUUUACAUUUUGCACAAAUAUAUAAGUUUUCCUUCUGAAAGCCUCUUCCAGACUGGGUCCUUGCUCUUCGGUAUUUACGCAUUUACAGGAGACAAUCCCCCACCCACGCUCUGGGGGUGAGCAGGGGAUGGGAGGGGGUCAUGGGUUAACAUUACCUAAAUGACAGCCCUCGAUACUGAGUGGUGACAUCAGAAAGGUCAUCUGGUUUGGAGCCAAUUCCAUUGCCAGCCUUUGAAAACAUCAAAAUCCACAGGAAAAUCAGCAAGUUAGAGCAAAGGGAGGCUGUGUGCGUGCAAGGCUUUGGAAGAUGUCCCUGACGCAUGCAUCAUGGUGUGACCAGAACUUGCCACUUUGGAACUCAGGACAUCCAGGCUUGCGUUCUGUGGUGCUCCUUCCCAGCUGUGACCCUUCCCGGAUGCUCACCUGCCUCCUUACAGAACUGAAGUCAUGCCCUGCUUACUGCACAGGGUUGUUUUGAUGAUCAAAUUGGAUCAGAGUUGUAAAAACAGUUUUGAGACCUCUAAAGUGCUUUACAAAUGUGAGACACUGUUACACCAUCACUAGCAUCAUUCUGCUCCCGAGUUCUCUGUACAUGUGGAGGAAGCACCUGCAGUGGACAGAUUUCUCAUACGCUUCCCACUUCUCCUCUUUCCCUCUGGGACAUUCUGUGAGGCCAUCUUAUGGCCUCACAAGCAUUGCCGGGAAGUGGUGCUCUGGGAUGGAAAACAGCCGCAUUUCUCAGAACUUAAGAGCAGAGCUUUUGCCACAACUAUGGUGUCUUUGCUGCUUUGGGUACAGAUGCCAAGAGGAAACAGAUAUGAGGGUUGGAGCUGCUCAUCAAGUAUAAUCCAAAGGGAAAAGAGCGCUGACACAGGUAGCUUUGGAAGGUUUUUUGAGUCAAAUGACAAAAUUUUGCAAUUGUUAAAAAGGUGGCGUUAAGUGUUCAAAACCUCCACUGAGGCAAUUCAGUUUGCACCUGAAAAGGUUCCCCCUUGCACACUAGACUGAGAAAAGUAGCUGCAAGAUCAAACCUUUGCCAUGCUCUCAGACUGUCAGAAGCAGGACAGAGGGGCCAGGGAAUGCGAGGUAAAAAGUGCAGGCCCAGGGUUAGGUGGAUGGGGACCUGGAACUGACACAGCCACCCCCACCCCACAUGGGGCUCGAGAGUCCUUACGGUCAGAGAAUCUCCCAGAGCAGCCACGACUUGGAUGUCUGCUGGUCUCAGGGCAUGCACUGCAAAGACAAGCAGAAACACUUGAGUCCGUGGGAAGGAAGCUGCAGUCAGAGCCUGGUGAUUCUGGCUUUAAGUGAGACCAGAAACACGACCUGCAUGUGUUUGGGCCAUGGAGGACUCAGCCUUUAUGGUGCCAGGCUGGGAGAGGUUAGAUGGAAACACUCUUCCCAUAAGAGACCCAAUAAACGAUCCUGGACCUACGGGAAGGGAGCCAUGCUGAGAGUGGGGGAGAAGGGGAGGUGAGGAGGGGAGUGGGGAAGGGAGGAAAGGAGAGAUGGAGGGGUGGCCGGUAGGGCACAGUGGGAUCCCACUAUUUUGGUGCCAGUGGUCACGUGGGACACCAGCUGAGACAUGAGUGCACGGCCCGAUGGGCGCUGGGCUGUCUGAGCUGAGGCACAGGGCCUGAUGCACGGCUCAGGUAGAGCUGGGCUCUGGAUUUCCACCAAGGAUCUGAGAAAUAGCCAUGCUGGGCCUUUCCCUGUCCACAGGGCUCUUCUGAAGACUCCAGAGUUCUUUCCAGUCCUAUUGCAGAGCCUGGGCCCAGAGGGCCACCUGCAGAGCUGGCUCCCUCUUGGGACGCCCUAGGCACCCCACACCCCACUCCUGGGCCUCAGGAAGGUCACACCCCAGACUGGGCCUCCGAGAGUGGUGCUCAGGUGGCUCCUCCACUUGUGCUCCCAUAAGCAGGCUGAACUGGGAGGGUGGCCAACAGUCCCCAGCCCGGCCGCCUUGGGUCCUGUUGGGUAAGGCUUCACUACCAGGCCCAGGGGUCUCAGGCAACCAUGCAUACAGGGAGCAAGCACUCGCCAUAACUAAGUCAUUUAAUUAUGUUGCAAAUAUUAGCCACUACAUAUAAAAAUAGAUUAAAAAUGUUUUCUUCUGUAUAGCACAGGGAACUAUAUUCAAUACUUUGUAAUAACCUUUAAUGAAAAAGAAUAUGAAAACAAAUGUAUGUAUGUAUAUGCAUGACUGGGACACUGUGCUGUACACCAGAAAUGGACACAUUGUAACUGACUGUACUUCAAUUAAAAAAAAAAGAAAAAGAAAAGUCUCAUCAGGGCAUUCACUGCUCUGAGUCCUUGUGGAAGAGCCCUGGGUCCUGGUGUGCCACGGGGAGCUUACCUGAGGUGGGCGGCGAGGCAGAAGGGGCUCUGUCACUGCACAUCAGCCAG